GACGAACGCUGGCGGCGUGCUUAACACAUGCAAGUCGAGCGGUAAGGCCUCUUCGGGGGUCCACGAGCGGCGAACGGGUGAGUAACACGUGGGUGACCUGCCCUCAGCUCUGGGAUAAGCCUGGGAAACUGGGUCUAAUACCGGAUAUGACCUUUCCUCCCCUGGGGUUUGGUGGAAAGUUUUUUUGGCUGGGGAUGGGGCCGCGGCCUUUCCGCUUGUUGGUGGGGUGAUUGCCUACCAAGGCGGCGACGGGUAGCCGGGCUGAGGGGGCGGCCGGGCACACUUGGACUGGGGACCCGCCCCGACUCCUACGGGAGGGAGGAGUGGGGGAUAUUGCGAAAUGGGCGGAAGCCUGACGCAGCGACGGCGCGGGGGGGAUGGCGGCCUUCGGGUUGUAAAAGUCUUUCGACCCCGACGGAUUAUGACGGUAGCGGUAGAAGAAGCACCGGCCAACUACGUG
Molecule: ribosomal RNA, 460 nt
Filed under: uncultured bacterium
Lineage: Bacteria
Description: partial 16S ribosomal RNA
Rfam family: Bacterial small subunit ribosomal RNA
Source: RNAcentral